GAUUUCUGGUAUGGCGCAUUUGGCCCGCUUCGGUUACGGAGUUGAGUGCCGUUUUGCGCCUGCCAUCCUUCUGGAAUACGACUCUCCAUUCAUUGGGUUGGGCCGGAAUCCAGAUCAUUUACUUUGAAAAAAUUAGAGUGUUUAAAGCAGGCUUACGCUAUGAAUACAUUAGCAUGGAAUAAUAAUUUAGGACUUUGGUCUUAUUUUGUUGGUUUCUAGGACUAAAGUAAUGAUUGAUAGGGAUAGUUGGGGGUGCUAGUAUUCAGCGGCCAGAGGUGAAAUUCUUGGAUUCGCUGAAGACUAACUUAUGCGAAAGCAUU
RNAcentral lists this ribosomal RNA (320 nucleotides) under uncultured Limnofila. RNAcentral describes it as "SSU rRNA". The stretch from base 103 to 320 matches the Rfam family "Eukaryotic small subunit ribosomal RNA", at positions 736 to 955 of the family's 1831-position model. The record is from RNAcentral. Lineage: Eukaryota; Cercozoa; Cercomonadida.